GGGGAAUAUUGGACAAUGGGGGCAACCCUGAUCCAGCAAUGCCGCGUGUGUGAAGAAGGCCUUCGGGUUGUAAAGCACUUUUAUCGGGAACGAAACAUUGUCGGCCAAUACCCGGCAAGACUGACGGUACCCGAGGAAUAAGCACCGGCUAACUCCGUGCCAGCAGCCGCGGUAAUACGGAGGGUGCAAGCGUUAAUCGGAAUUACUGGGCGUAAAGCGUGCGCAGGCGGUUUGUUAAGUCUGCUGUGAAAUCCCCGAGCUCAACUUGGGGAUUGCAGUGGAUACUGGCAAGCUGGAGUACGGUAGAGGAAGGUGGAAUUCCCGGUGUAGCAGUGAAAUGCGUAGAGAUCAGGAGGAACACCAGUGGCGAAGGCGGCCUUCUGGACCAGUACUGACGCUCAUGCACGAAAGCGUGGGGAGCAAACA
Molecule: ribosomal RNA, 426 nt
Filed under: uncultured bacterium
Lineage: Bacteria
Description: bacterial SSU rRNA
Rfam family: Bacterial small subunit ribosomal RNA
Source: RNAcentral